GAUAAACGCUGGCGGCGUGCCUAACACAUGCAAGUCGAACGCGCUUCUUUCGGGAAGCGAGUGGCGGACGGGUGAGUAACACGUGGGUACCUGCCUUGAGGUGAGGAAUACCACCGAGAAAUCGGUGACAAGACCGCAUACGCUCUCUCAGCCGAGAGAGCAAAGUCGCUUCGGUGACGCCGCAAGAUGGGCCUGCGCCUGAUUAGCUAGUUGGUGGGGUAAAAGCCUACCAAGGCCACGAUCAGUAGCUGGUCUGAGAGGAUGAUCAGCCACACUG
This 277-nucleotide ribosomal RNA is filed under the name uncultured bacterium. Its description in RNAcentral is "partial 16S ribosomal RNA". It matches the Rfam family "Bacterial small subunit ribosomal RNA", at positions 28 to 315 of the family's 1533-position model. The record is from RNAcentral.